RNAcentral lists this ribosomal RNA (520 nucleotides) under uncultured Paraglomus. Its description in RNAcentral is "bacterial SSU rRNA". It matches the Rfam family "Eukaryotic small subunit ribosomal RNA", at positions 569 to 1088 of the family's 1831-position model. Lineage: Eukaryota; Fungi; Glomeromycota; Glomeromycetes; Paraglomerales; Paraglomeraceae. The record is from RNAcentral.
AGCAGCCGCGGUAAUUCCAGCUCCAAUGGCGUAUAUUAAAGUUGUUGCAGUUAAAAAGCUCGUAGUUGAACUUCAGGCCUGGCUGGACGGUCCGCCCUCUGGGUGAGCACUGUCUGUGGUCGGGUCCUACCUUCUGGCGAAGCGGCAUGGCCUUAACCGGCCGUGGCGGGGAACCAGGACUUUUACUGUGAAAAAAUUAGAGUGUUCAAAGCAGGCACGCGCUUGAAUACAUUAGCAUGGAAUAAUGGAAUAGGACAAUGGUUCUAUUUGUUGGUUUCUAGGACCGUUGUAAUGAUUAAUAGGGAUAGUUGGGGGCAUUAGUAUUCAAUUGUCAGAGGUGAAAUUCUUGGAUUUAUUGAAGACUAACUACUGCGAAAGCAUUUGCCAAGGAUGUUUUCAUUAAUCAAGAACGAAAGUUAGGGAUCGAAGACGAUCAGAUACCGUCGUAGUCGUUAACCAUAAACUAUGACCGACUAGGGGUCGGAUGAUGUUAUUUUUAAUGUACUUCUAUUCGGCGCCU